GGCUGAAAAGAAAAUGUUGAAUAUCCAUCAUUCGUGUUAGCAUUGGUGGAAUGCUAACACGAAUGAAGGAUAUUCAACAUUUUCUUGAUAGCC
This is a non-coding RNA of Pelobates cultripes (western spadefoot toad), 93 nucleotides long. The record is from the annotation of a GenBank genome assembly. NCBI's taxonomy places the organism in Eukaryota, Metazoa, Chordata, Amphibia, Anura, Pelobatidae.